This 478-nucleotide ribosomal RNA is filed under the name uncultured bacterium. Its description in RNAcentral is "partial 16S ribosomal RNA". It matches the Rfam family "Bacterial small subunit ribosomal RNA", at positions 28 to 523 of the family's 1533-position model. The record is from RNAcentral.
GACGAACGCUGGCGGCGUGCUUAACACAUGCAAGUCGAACGGUAAGGCCCUUCGGGGUACACGAGUGGCGGACGGGUGAGUAACACGUGGGUGAUCUGCCCUGCACUUCGGGAUAAGCCUGGGAAACUGGGUCUAAUACCGGAUAGGACUCCGGACUGCAUGGUCUGGGGUGGAAAGCUGUUGCGGUGUGGGAUGGGCCCGCGGCCUAUCAGCUUGUUGGUGGGGUGAUGGCCUACCAAGGCGACGACGGGUAGCCGGCCUGAGAGGGUGACCGGCCACACUGGGACUGAGAUACGGCCCAGACUCCUACGGGAGGCAGCAGUGGGGAAUAUUGCACAAUGGGCGCAAGCCUGAUGCAGCGACGCCGCGUGAGGGAUGACGGCCUUCGGGUUGUAAACCUCUUUCAGCAUCGACGAAGCGAAAGUGACGGUAGGUGCAGAAGAAGGACCGGCCAACUACGUGCCAGCCGCCGCAGUAA